GGAGAGGUGGCAGAGUGGUCGAAUGCGCUGGUUUGCUAAACCAGUGAUCCUGUCACAGGGAUCCACGGGUUCGAAUCCCGUCCUCUCCG
RNAcentral lists this transfer RNA (89 nucleotides) under Planctomycetota bacterium. RNAcentral describes it as "Planctomycetes bacterium (marine metagenome) tRNA-Ser". It matches the Rfam family "tRNA". From Rfam's summary of the family: Transfer RNA (tRNA) molecules are approximately 80 nucleotides in length. Their secondary structure includes four short double-helical elements and three loops (D, anti-codon, and T loops). The record is from RNAcentral. RNAcentral also lists the same sequence under 1 other name. Lineage: Bacteria; Pseudomonadati; Planctomycetota.